This is a long non-coding RNA of Cyprinus carpio carpio, 1269 nucleotides long. Lineage: Eukaryota; Metazoa; Chordata; Actinopteri; Cypriniformes; Cyprinidae. The record is from Ensembl.
UUUCUGUUUUUUUUUUUUUUGAGGCAGUAUAGAAAUGCAGUCCAAUAACUAUUAAAUAACAAAUUGCAAAAAUGUGAUUAAUACAUAAAAUAACCUUGUAUUGACAAAACUCAGAAUUUUUAUAGCCUAUUACCUACACGGUAUGUUUUUUUUUUUCUUACAUCAAGAAUCGGUUCAUAAAGUUUUUUUUAUCGGGUUACACUUCUCUUUGCCACUUUUCGUGUUGUUUGUUCGACUCAGACUCUAUAAAACCGACACAAGAGCAAUUCAUCAAAGAGUCGAAUUGCACUGACUGUGCUGCAUAAUCUGGUAAUCAGACAGUUCUCAUUUUGAUGGCCCAUCUCCAGCUUGGACUGCCAGAGGAAAUGUCCGCGUUUUUCAGUGCACAAAACCAUUAUCCGAAUAUUGAAUACUGAAUUUCACUUAACUGAAAGGCUUGAAAAUAGGUCAGAAACAGACCAACAGGGGACGCCGUUUGCCAUUGCAGCCUCAAGUCACGUUAUUACUCGUCUUCCGCUACAUGCUCGCGCUAAACUAAUUUACAGGUUUAAACGACGUAGGUUGACGAUCAUCUUCAUCAUCAUUAUUAAGAAACUCUGUCCAUCCAGAAAUCCUGGUGUUUCCUGGAGGACAUACCCUCACUCCAUCCAGAAUGAAUCCGCUACACCUGUGUGUGAAAAGGUCACCUGACCACCCGUUGGCGAGUCAAGACCGAUCCCGCUGCCACACCAGAUUAUAGACAGAGGUGGAAAUGACAGUAGAUCUGUACCAUCCCCUGGCUCAUGACCUGCUACUGAAAUACUUCAAGUUAAUCGAUAAAACAGUGGUGCGUUUCCCAGCUAAUGUCAAGUGUCUGAGGACCACCACCUUGAUGCAUUAUUAAAUGCACAUACGCAGACUGGAGGCAAAGACGUGGAACAGAAGCCCCGGCGAAAUGAACGCAAGAUCUGACAGAGAGAGCGAAAGAGGGAGAGAAAACUUAAUUGAAGCCUGAUUACUGGCCCUUGGGAGGUUACAGUUUAUUAAUAUGUCACUUUCAAUAAAGACACUCCCAUAUUCAGAUUCACUGUUACCAUGGAAACCUCGUUUCUUUUUACGUUUGACUUUUUUUCCCCUCCCUGAGUGGAAGGAGAGGUUAAUGACACAAAUCCUCCCGACGCUCAGGUUGAUUUUCAAACCCCUCUGUCUGAAAUAAUCAGUGUUUUGCUUUUCUACAGCUCUGUCUUUGCCCUCUGAGCCGCUGUGGGAAGAGAGGAGAUAUUUUAUGCC